UGCAUAAAUGUUAUCGUUUUUCACACAGCGAAAACCUAAGCUCAGAAACUAACCAUGUCUAGUCUUCCUUCAGACAUAAUCGCCGACAUCCUCAGCCGACUCCCAGCCAAAAAGCUUUUAUGUGUUAAGUGCGUGUGCAAGCCAUGGUGUCAUCUAAUCGACGGUCCAGAUUUCAUCAAGCUUCAUCUCGAAAAAUCGAUGAAGUCCAACACCAACCAAUCCCUCAUCUUGAAACACUCUCAUCUUUACUGGGUAAGUUUAGAUUCACUUGAAUCAGCUUCAGAAAUCGAUCACCCUUUAAUGUGUUACAAUCACAGCGUUAAGUUACUAGGUUCUUGUCAUGGGUUGCUCUGUAUUUCUAAUAUAGUUGAUGAUAUGGCUUUCUGGAACCCAUCAACGAGAAAACAUAGGGUUUUACCGUUUAUGUCGCUGGAGCUCCGGCGAUAUACGGGUUCUUCCGUGUGUAGUGUUUGUGUUUUUGGGUUUGGUUAUGAUAUAACUAACGAUGACUAUAAGCUUGUUAGGGUUGCCCAGUUUAGGGGGACAGAAAUUUCGUUUGUUGAGUGUGAAGUUAAGGUUUUUAGCCUGAGAAGAAAUAGUUGGAAGAGGAUUAAAGAUAUGCCUUAUGCGUGUCGGUAUCCGGGGACAAAUGGGGUUUAUGCUUGUGGUGCUUUACAUUGGAUAGUGAGUAGAAAUCGUAGUUCUGGGGAUUUCCAUCGAAAUGGUAAUUCUGGAGAUUUCAAUGUUGUUGUUGCGUUGGAUUUAGCUGCUGAGGACUAUAAAGAGGUGGCGCUGCCGGAGUUUGGGGAUAAGAAUUUUAAUUUGGACGUGGGCGCGUUGGGUGGGUGUUUGUGUGUGGUUGCAAAUUUUUCGAAUGUUCGGUCUGAUGUAUGGGUGAUGAAAGAGUAUGGAGUGAAGGAUUCUUGGGAUAAAUUACUUUCAGUUACGCGAGAACAAAUGUGUGGAAUUGGGAGAUCUGUAAGGCCUUUGGGUUAUUCUAAAGGAGGCAGUGAGGUUCUCCUUGAGCAGGAUAGACUAAACCUUUUUUGGUAUGAUCUGAAAAAGAAGACAGUUAAGGAUGUUAUGAUUCGUGGUACGCCCAUUUCGUAUGAAGUGGAAAUUUGCUUGCAAACUCUUGUUUCAGUUAAUAUUAGUAAAAGAGAUUUGGGAAAGAAUCAGGGAACAGCAGACCAUGACAAGAAUGUAAAGAAGAGGGAUGAUUUCUUGUCUGAGGGUUUCAAACUGGUGCUAUAGCCAAGUAUAGAAAGAAUGGGAGCUGGAGCGCAAAAAGUUUAUUCAAAAGCUUAUAACUUGCAUGCACAAAUUGGUACAGGACUGAGUUUGUUAGCAAAAAUAGAGGAAAGAAGCGGAAAUACUGCAAGUUUAUCUGUGGAAUUUUUCAAGUUACAGAAAUCUACAAGUUUUUUCCUCAGCACUUAGUAUCCUACUCUUCAUGAGAAUACAUCUGAGUUGUGUUCCAGAACCUGUAGUGGCAAUAGCUUUCCUAGCUGUUUCUUCAGCACAGGGACCCGUAUUGAGAGAAAAUCAUCAUGGAGGGGGUGAUACAUGCUGUGAAUUUUUUAAUUCUCACACCUUAGACCACCAAAUCCUGGAAGAUAGACAGGCUGAGUUCCAGUUGCUGCCCAGAUCAUCUUCAAAUGUUUCUGCUCAUGAACUAUCUCAAGCAGUAGUUACGGAAUGUCUCUCUGGAAUUGCAGUUACUCUAUUUUCUGUUAAUAAAUUACUGUGUUCUGUAAUUGCUAUGCAUGAUUAGAUUUGUAAUUAGUAGUGUUGGAGUGCCAUGUGUUUUUAUGAGGCUUGAAAAGAAGAAUAUUAGUAUAUUACCUGUAAUGCAUAAGAAAUGUUCAUUAUGUAAUGUACUUCAGUCUCUUAUUAUAUAGAGAUUAACACUCAUUGAGCUUAAUUGGCGAACAACAUUUCUCAAA
RNA transcript from Pistacia vera, 1946 nucleotides. It is a transcript of the gene named F-box protein CPR1-like, with no coding region annotated. Lineage: Eukaryota; Viridiplantae; Streptophyta; Magnoliopsida; Sapindales; Anacardiaceae. The transcript has 4 exons. The record is from RefSeq and is a predicted model, not a curated record.